Glycine soja is the source of this 493-nucleotide long non-coding RNA. RefSeq lists it as uncharacterized. The transcript has 4 exons. Lineage: Eukaryota; Viridiplantae; Streptophyta; Magnoliopsida; Fabales; Fabaceae. The record is from RefSeq and is a predicted model, not a curated record.
UGCAGGAGAAAUUAAGAAAUUCGAAGCAAACAAGUUAUUUCACACACUGGUGGAUCCAAAGCUAAUCCUAGAAGAAGAAAUGAGUUGUUGUUAGAAACUGGGAAGCUAGCAAGUUGUGGACAAUUAUAUAUUGAAACUCAUAAAAGGAAAGAUGGAUCAUUUGUAAAUGAAGCAGCAAAGACUAUAACGGAACAAAUUGAAGUAGGAUUGACUCAAAGCAUAGUUGAUGAAUCUGAAGUUUCUCCUCUUGAUGCUGUUGGUAUCCUAAAACUUCCAAAUGAUGCUUCAAGUGUUCCUAAUACACCUUUGGAUGCAAGAGGAUUUUCUGGUGCUAGCAACCCUUAGUUUGCUUAUAAUGUAUUUUGGAUUUAAAGUUUAGUACAAGACUAAUAUUACUUUGUUAUGGAUUUUAUGUCAUACUUUGAUUUACAAUAGAAAUUUGAAUUAUAAAUCUUUGAACUAUAUGUUAUUAUUUUGGUUAUUGAAAUAUAAU